CAAAAACAUUGCUUCUUGAACAAAAUAAAAAGUAAUUCCUGCCCAGUGAUUCAACGGCCGCGGUAUCCUAACCGUGCAAAGGUAGCAUAAUCACUUGCUCAUUAAUUGUGGGCUAGAAUGAACGGACCAACGAAAUAAAGACUGUCUCCAUAAGUCUCAUAAAAAUUAAUCUCUAACUGAAGAAUGUUAGAUUAUGUCGAAGGACAAGAAGACCCUAUAGAGCUUCAUUUUAAUAUAAAAUAUUUAUACUAAAAUUCGGUUGGGGCGACCAGGGAAAUUAUUAAUCAUCCCUUAUAAAAGAUUUAUUAAUCUUAAUCAUGACCCUUUAAUAAGAUCAAUAAAACAAGCUACCUUAGGGAUAACAGGCUAAUUUUCCUAAAGAGUCCUUAUCAAUAGGAAAGUUUGGCACCUCGAUGUUGGCUUAGGGAAUCUAUAUGGCGCAAAAGUCAUAUAAAGAUGGUUUGUUCAACCAAUAACACCCUACAUGAUCU
RNAcentral lists this ribosomal RNA (491 nucleotides) under Dendrobaena byblica. RNAcentral describes it as "partial 16S ribosomal RNA". It matches the Rfam family "Bacterial large subunit ribosomal RNA", at positions 1808 to 2606 of the family's 2925-position model. The record is from RNAcentral. Lineage: Eukaryota; Metazoa; Annelida; Clitellata; Crassiclitellata; Lumbricidae.